AGCGUAGGUGGCCUAACAUGUCAACUGUGAAAACCCGGAGCUCAACUCCGGACUUGCAGUUGAAACUGGUAGGCUUGAGGACGGUAGAGGAAGACGGAACUGCCGGUGUAGGGGUAAAAUCCUUAGAUAUUGGCAGGAACGCCGGUGACGAAGGUGGUUUUCUGGGCCGGUUCUGACACUGAUGCUCGAAAGCCAGGGGAGCGAACGG
Molecule: ribosomal RNA, 208 nt
Filed under: uncultured Mesotoga sp.
Lineage: Bacteria; Thermotogati; Thermotogota; Thermotogae; Kosmotogales; Kosmotogaceae
Description: partial 16S ribosomal RNA
Rfam family: Bacterial small subunit ribosomal RNA
Source: RNAcentral